UACGAAGGGUGCAAGCGUUACUCGGAAUUACUGGGCGUAAAGCGUGCGUAGGUGGUUCGUUAAGUCUGAUGUGAAAGCCCUGGGCUCAACCUGGGAAUGGCAUUGGAAACUGGCGAUCUAGAGUGCGGUAGAGGGUAGUGGAAUUCCCAGUGUAGCAGUGAAAUGCGUAGAGAUCGGGAGGAACAUCUGUGGCGAAGGCGACUGCCUGGACCAGCACUGACACUGAGGCACGAAAGCGUGGGGAGCAAACAGG
This 253-nucleotide ribosomal RNA is filed under the name uncultured bacterium. Its description in RNAcentral is "partial 16S ribosomal RNA". It matches the Rfam family "Bacterial small subunit ribosomal RNA", at positions 524 to 776 of the family's 1533-position model. The record is from RNAcentral.